GGUUCACUUACUUGUCCGUCUCCUGUGACAUAUUUCUCCGGCUCCUCUUGCGAAACUGGACUUUCAAGUCGGUGCAGAACCUGGGCUACAGGCUGAACGCUUUCAGAUUCCAGGAGGCGGUACCGACGUCGAAACCAGGUCCUUUCAGUUCUUGAUCAAGAAUCCAAUCCAAGGUAAUGGUCUGAAAGAAUCUUCUUUCUCCUGAUUAUAAGUGAUCUGCGUUAACGGAUUACCUUAUUGCUUCUACCUACCUUUGGUGGGUGCUAUCUGGACCACUGCUCCAACGGAUAACUCAAUGUUAUGAAUGUGGACUGACUAAACAAAGCUGAUCUGUGAUAUUUAGGUACCUUUGUUCUAAGCACUGUAUAUACCCCAAAUAAUAUUGUUUCCGAUACAUUUCUGUUUAAAUAAACAAAGAUGUUUACACACAUGGACAGGAAUGUUAGCAGAGUACUGUAUUUUAUUGCUAGAAGAAGCAAUCCAUUUUCUUUUUAACUCUUGGUAUCUGCAGAUCAUGAAUGGAGGAAAACAGAAGGAGUGUGAUUUUAUGAAUUUUUGUUAAAGUGAAAAGCAGACCAAUUUGUUAGCUCAUCAGUGUUACAUUCAGUUAACAUUUAGAAUAAAAAGGCCUAAAAGCUCCUUCCACAGCCUCAUCUUCUGGAAACCAAAAUGACUGGCAGUAGAUUUGACCGUUAUUGUGAGACUAGUCCUUUUAUGAUCCUCCAGCUGCGUACAUUGAAGCCCAUUUUAGAUUGCCGCACUGCUAACUCAGCACAUACUCUGCAAUAAAAUCCUCUUGUUCAAUGUGAAUGCUGGAAAGGUCUUUUACAUUGGUGACAAAGUAUAGGAAACAUCAAACAUGACUCAGCCUUUCCAAGCCAUCAAUCAACUGCAUCCCAUUUGUUCUUAAAUACGGCAACAUAAUCCAACUUCAGUAUUCCUCUCAGCAGACAUUUCCACGCAUUCACCGCCCUCUGUGUAAACACAUUUAGUUUAAAUUAUUCGUCUCUUUCUGACCUUCAGUCAGUGCAACCUUUAAGGUGUGACAACUAAAAGCAUUUUUCAAGUUCAAUUUAUCCAUCCCUAUCUCUGAGUCUUGAAUACUUCAGUAAGAUUUCCCUCUGCUUUCACUUCUCGAACCAUAAUGUCCAGAUUUUAUAGCUGCUUCAGCUCAAGCGUCUAAAACCUGAUGCAAAUUUACUCACUCUUUGAUGUUCGCCUGUACAAAGUCAAAAAACGUCUCAACAUCAAUUACGUAUAUGGAAUUGAACCAACAUGUUUUAGAAACUCACUAUUGUGAAUUGGAACUGCUACCAUAGCCCUCUCUGUAGUUAUCCUAGGAUCUUCCUCGUUUACUGAUGCUACAUUCUGUGUUCACAGUUUUAAUGAUCACUAAUACCCCGGAUCUUUUUGUAAGUUGUGCCAUGAGUGCGUUUGUGUCUGAGCCUUCAGAGGCCAGAGUGACUAAUUCAGAAAAGAAAAUAAGAGUCCGUUUGGCAUGAAGUUACCUUGUGAGCCUGUGGACUAUAAGGAAUGCUGAUGAGACCUUUGGUGGGUGUUCUCUGGACCAUGGGUACUGGGGGAAGCACCUGUCUGGAAGUGUGGGAAGGGUGUAUACCCUCUCAAACACUCGAAGCAGAGGGUGACUGUCUAUACGGGUGAGUGGGUCACUGAGAGAACGCCACAUUGCAUGUUUAUAGGUAUUUAUUUGCAAACAUCAUGGAUGUUGGGGAAACAGAGGGGACCAACAAGAAGUCUCCAAAUCUGUGGGCGAUAUGGUGGCUUAGAGGUUAGCAAUGCUGUCUCACAGCACCAGGGACCAGGGUUUGAUUCCAGCCUUGGGGAGUUUGUACGUUCUCCCU
Long non-coding RNA from Chiloscyllium plagiosum (whitespotted bambooshark), 1862 nucleotides. RefSeq lists it as uncharacterized. Lineage: Eukaryota; Metazoa; Chordata; Chondrichthyes; Orectolobiformes; Hemiscylliidae. The record is from RefSeq and is a predicted model, not a curated record.